This is a long non-coding RNA of Acinonyx jubatus (cheetah), 6285 nucleotides long. RefSeq lists it as uncharacterized. The transcript has 8 exons. The record is from RefSeq and is a predicted model, not a curated record. NCBI's taxonomy places the organism in Eukaryota, Metazoa, Chordata, Mammalia, Carnivora, Felidae.
AAUGAAUUUAUAUUAGACAUCUUUGAACUCUUAGUACAAAUAAGUUUCUCUCUGGCCUGUUAAUUUGAUUCUACCUACAACUUCGUUCGCCAGAAGGGAAGGGUGGCCUAUUGUGUAUCACGUGACCUCCAGAAGGCCUCCCUUUCCCACUCACCAAGGCCUUUCCUUUCUCGGUAGUGAUUCGGGCGCUGCGAGAUGACGCCAACAUAUUCGUGCCACCUGGUUUCACCGCUCAGCUUAGUUCUUGGGUGGAAAGUGAAACAGCAAAUAAGACAAUCAAUUGAGAUAAGGAUUGGGAAGGAGUUGUUGGAGGUUUGAGGAGAGAGAAGAUAUGGAAUAACCAUUUAGGAUGGCAUUCAACCAACUGUGGCCUGUAGGCCAAAUGUGGCUUGUCAUCUCUCUUGAAAAUAAAGUUUUGGGAACACAGGCGUGCCUCCUUGUUAAUAUAUUGUCUAUGGCUGCUCUUGCACUACAGUUUCAAAGAAAAGAAGCCCGAGGGUCAGCAGAUGUUGAAGGAGGUAUAAUCAAGAAAGCAAACCAAGGCCUUGGAGAGAUGAAGGGGCUUCCUUAAGGUCAUACAAACCUUUCAGCCAAGUUGCCUAAGAACAACAGUUGAUGAGAACUGCACGUCUUCAAACACUGUCUACUGCAGGAUGGAAACAGGAACCUCUGGGAAUAUCACCUCCUCCUUGUGAAACAGCUCCUGUCAUAGCAAAGGUCCUGGAAGUCGAGCCACCUGUUCCUUUAUCUGCUAUACCUUACAGCAGCCCAGCAAGCUUCCUAACUUGGAUCCUGAAGUCCUGUUGUCCCUGUUCCCACACAACUACCUCUUCCCGAUUUUCUGUGAAGAUAGCUGGGGAUCAGACUUGAGCUGCUGAGUACUGAUUGUUGGUCAGCCACUCUUCUUUGUACUGGAGAUACAACGGAGGACAAAAUUGGCAAAAAAACCCUGAUCUCAUAGAGCUUUUUGUAGAGGGAGGAGAUAGGCAAUGAAAAUAGCAAAUAUGAACUGAAUGGAGACUGAGAAAGCCCAGAAGCCCAAUUUCACACAGCUAGUGAGUACAAAUGUCCAGAAUAGAAUUUAGAGUUGCUUGACCCCAGUUUGUGAUCUUGACCAUUUUAUUAUGCUAUUUUUUCUUUAGAAUCCUGCUAGCUACUCUGUAAUAUGACUUAUUUAAUCUUAUUAAUACAUCCUAGUGAAUAUACAAUCUCUAGCACUAGUAACAAUAUAAUAUUUUUUGUUUGUUUACAUCUAGAUGUUGAGAUCUGAAGGCAGCAGAUAGUUUUUGUAUCUUUGAAUUCUCAUGUUCUAUAACCUAGAGAAAAGAAUACUGCAUGAAUAAGUGAGUUAGUGAACUGAUGAAUGAAUCUAACAACAGCCAGUAGAGAUUAGUGGCUUGACUCAAAGGGGUCACAUUGUCUAUAGAGAAUUUUUAAAAACUAAACUACUGAGUGAUGAUCUGCUUUAUGUUAUCAGCCUCCACUGGCAAUUCUAAACAAUGUCAGUAACAAAAUAAUCCUAUCCACCUGGGUGGAUCACUCUCACUGUGCCACCUCCCCCUCCAAGCAAUUGAUCUCAAAUCAGGGUACUGGAUUUUUCAGUGAAUAUUUGCUGGCAACUAUUUGGGGAUUAUCUUGUCUCUCAAGUAAUCAGAUGCCUCUUGGCUUCCCUUGACUUUCUUGUGCACCACUUUCUAUCCCAUGCAGGUUUGAGGCUGUUGGUGGUUUGUCCCCAUACAUUUGGAUAUUAGCCAUCUAAUUUUGUUGUAAAUGUAGUCAAUGGGUUUUAGUUUUGCUCUUCCUUCCAUUUUUGGGCAGGUUUCCUGGAAGACCUAAAAACUGUACUGUUUCUACUUUUGUCAUUUUCCCAGAAUCCCCCUGGGUAUUUUAAUUUUUAAUCUUUGUCAGUAUGACAUGAGAAUGGUAGCUUACUGUUUUUAACUUUUCAUUACUUGAUUUUUAGUAAGCCUGAUAAUUAUUUUCAUAUGUAUUUAUUUAUUAUUGGCCUUUUUUUUUGUAGUUUGCCUAUUCAUAGUUUUGCCCCCCCCCCUUUUUUUUUACUGGAGUCUGCCUUUUUCUUAAUGAUAUGUAAGAACUCUUCUUAAAAUGUCAAUCUUAAUUCUUUGUCUAUCACAACUUAUGGUAACAACAACAACAACAACAGUAAUAAUAAUUUGUAAUGGUGUGGCACUUGUCAUCUAAAUUUAUUUUGAAAUAAUAUAGUUUUGAACUUUAGCUGAAUCAAUGUCUCAGUAUUUUUUCUUUGUGGUUUUUGGUUAUAUUUAGAGAGACCUGCCUACUGGUUGUUGAAGAAUUUAAUAAGUUUUACUGAUGAAAAAUAUUUAACUAAUGUCACUACAGGGCAAAGAACAAUGAAGUCUUGGAAACAGCCUAUUGUCUUAAUAUGAAAUGAUACCAAAGUGUUGUUCCCAUUCAUAGAUGAUCUCUACAUGCUCUAGUGUAUUAAAUAAAUAAUAACUAAGGUUUAUUCAGUGCCUUAUAAUUUAAAGACUUCUUUCACUUACAAAAUUUGGGCCUUACAAUAGAAAAAUAACUGCCUGAAGUCAGCAGCAAUGAUUUCUUUCCAAGUGAAUUCUGACUAAUUCUAAAUCUUUCUUGUUGUUAAAAGAUCUGAAGGUCAGUAUUAGCAACUAUAGUAAAAAAAAAAAAAUCAUGAGCAAACUAGUUAGCAGACAUUUGCCAGGAAAUGGAUUGUUUGCAGAUUAUUUGGCAUGAAUCCCUGUAGAGAAGCAAAUCUGUUCCCACUUCUUUACUCUGCUUUUCCUGCCUGCUCUGUUCCACAGAAGCAAAUGUUUAGGUAUAUUUGAAUCCUCCCAACUAAGUGUUUAUACUAAACUGACCAAGAUAAGUUAUAAAGACCAGAUGAUAUUUAAAUAUUACCCCUUUUUUCUACAGUUGAUAUCUAUAUUUAAAAAAAUUACAGAAGAUUAUACUUUUUAAGGUUUUCUCUGUUUGGUAUUAAGUUAAAAGUUAAAGAAAACCAUAUAACACUUUUAUGUGAUUUGGGGAAUUAUUUCUUGAAUAGAGGGUUUUUUUUUUUUUUUUUUGGCUUGUUUUGUUUUUGUUAAAGUCCGUUUAAGUCAAAGUUAGUUCCUAUGAUGCUGCAAUUUUGGUGAGUCAGAAACAAACCAUAUUUGGACUUUCAGUUUUCCACUUUCAAUGGCUUCCUCUGUCCUUUUUUUUCAAGCUCAACAAAUGUAAAAUAUUUUAAUCAAGUGGAAACAGACAAAAAUGUGACUCAUUCUACUCGGCUGAGGAUUGGUUUGCUGAUGUCAUCCUAGUUUCUGCCGCCAAAUCAUUCUAAGGCUUAAGAUCAAUCUAGGGGAUCCUGCAUUUUAGUGUAGGAACUAAAGCAUUUUGUUCUGAACUGUCUUUAUCUCCCUUUUCCCUCUGCUUCAUGUUUCCUUUCAAAGAAAAAAAAACCUCUUGAAUAGUUUCAUACUUUUCUUCUGUGUCAUAGCACAUAUAUUUCCUUUCAUUCUCUGUGUCUCCAUUUCACUGCUUAAUAUAUAUUUCUUCUGAAGACUGUUUGCUAUGCUUUAUGUAGAAAAAAGAGCCAUAGGAUUUAUACUUAACAGCUCGAAAACUCUGCUCACUCUCUUUCUGUAGUCUCCCUUUCAGAGCAGGCAUUACCAUCUGCUUUCAUGACUUUAUCUUUGUUCUAAGAACUCUGUUCUGAGAGCUCUGAAAUUUGUAUCUUUAUGUCAACCAUUUAAAUGAUCUGACUCAAAUUCAGCUUUCAACUGACAUCACUCCUCACAUGUCCCACAGGCUCCUUUAAUUCAAAAUAUUCAAAACUGAAUUAAUUAUUCAUACCAGGUACCCAAACUUGAUAUUUAAAAAAAAUUUCCAUUAUCAUUAAUAGUUUUAUCAUCCACCCAGUCACCAAAGUAUGUCUUUGAAUUUAAUUUUUUUUCACUUCUCCCUCUCUAUGAUUCCUUGAAUUCAAGAAUUCAAUCCCUUUUUAGUUGUUAAAAGGAAAGACUUUGGAACCAGAAGACUGGGGUUUAAAUCCUGUCUCCACCAUUAGUAUCUGUGUGCCCUGGUGCCUGUUACUUAAAACCUCACAGUUUUCUUGUCUAUAAAAUGGAAAUAAGUAUAGUAUCUUAUAUCAUAGGGAUUGUGUAUAUACACAGUGCUUGGUGUAUUGUAAGUGCUCCAUAAAUGUUGACUAUUAUUUUCAUCAUCAUCUUCACUUCUCCCAGCUUUUUUGAUUUACUUUAUCUCUUAUCUAGAAUAUUAAAAUUGUUUUUUAAUUGGUCUUCUAACUUUGGUUCUUAUCACUGUAUUUUGCAACCCAUAGGGAAGUGUUUAUGUCAAUCAGGGUCCAGUAAGAACAACAGAAGCCACAUGUGGACAAUUGGAGACAUAUUGAACAAUAAGUUAUUAGAAGACAGAAAGAGACAUGAGGCUGGAGUAUUCAGAAACUAGAAAAUUAGAGGAAUGGCUUUAUGGAUGGAAACUCAGACUUGGGGGAACGGGCAGUGCCUGGAAGUUACUGGUACCUCCAUGGGGGCCUGAAAAGACUGGCUUUGGGAAGGCCACAAGAAGCCCAAGUACCAUGGCAGGGCGACUCUGACAGAAAUACGAAGCAAACAGGAAGGAGAGAGUUCACUUUCCCUUUUACGAGUCUUCUAGUGUCCCUUUCCAGUCCCCUACUGGCAGAUUCUAACAGAAACAGCUGGCAAGACAGUGAUUUGCAGUCUCAGCAUUAGCAUUCUAGAACAAAGUAUAGAUGGAUGGAUUGGAGAUGAGUAUCAAUAGCUUAAUAACCAAUACAGUAUGCUUUCUUAAACACAGAUCGUCUCUCCUCCUCAGCUUGGAAAUCCCCAGUGGGUCCUCAUUGACUGUGGGAUGAAGUUCAGACUCUUCAUACUCUGGUCACAAUCUACUUUUUUCAUCACUUUUUCUAAUCUUCCCUCUCCUCCGUUAUGACUGACUACCCCCACCCCACCUCCUAAUUUCUAGUCCCUGCUUCCCAUGCCCUUUGCUCUAUAGUCCUCAGUUCAUUCUCCUGAAACAUUUAAUACUUCCAUUGUUUUACUUCUGUUGCCUCUUCUGCUUCCUUUAUAUUUUGACAAAAUCCUGUUCAUUCUUCAAGAGUAAACUGUUCCAUCAAACUGACUUCCAGAUAAAAUUAAUGACUGAUUCCUCUGUACUCCCAUAGAUUGUCCAUUCAUUCAAAUCAAGUAUGCAUUAAUCCCUUAUUAUGUUACAGAUAUUAUGCAAAGCAUUGUGCAUACAUGGUGAACCAAAUGCCCUUGGUCUCUGCUGCAUGGAAUUUCCUGAGGAAGUGGCUUUUGAACUGGUAUUGAAAAUAAGUAGGAAAAGAAGGGUGGAUUGGAGGAGAACACUAAUGGAUUUGGUUUCAGAUAAGCUGAGUUUGACACUCCUUUAAAACAACCAAGAGGAGAAUUAAGAGAACUGUUGUAUAAAUGAGUGUAUAGCUCAAAAGUAAGAGAAAAGUAUAUUGAGACUCUCUAGCAUACACAUUCCAAUUAAGAUUUUGGAGAGAGAGGAGAGUAAAGAAAAGAAGGUGAUAGUUAAGUUUUUAAUAACUGCAACAAGUAAAGGUUGAGAGAGGGAAAAUGACACCAAAAGGAGAGAGUGAUCAGAGAAGCAGGAGUAAAAACAGAAACAGGAAAAAUUGUAAACAAAUGGAGUAGCAACAGUGUUGAAUGCUCCCAGGGUUUGAUAAGGUAACAUGUGGACUUCUGCAUGGGACUUAGUGAUCACAGGGGGACCCUCUUCAGUGGGAAGGUGGUCCUGCUGCACAGAGUAGAGCAAAGAAUGAGGAAGUGAAAGUGAAGACAGCUAAUGUAGAGAACUUGUUCAAGAAAUUUGGCCAGAAAAAGCAGUGACCCAGGGCACUUAUUUCCUUCUAUUAUACUUAUUUAUCAGCUUUUCUAAGCUGCUAGAAUGUGCGCUUCCUGUGGGCAGCUUAUUGAUCUUUGUAAUCUUAGCGCUUAGACCAGAAACUGGCACCUACUGGAAACUUGAAAAAAAAAAGUUGUAUGACUGUUGAAGGUCAGUAAAGCAGAUUCAUUGAAACUGUAAAAUAACUGCAUGUCUCAGUCUGUUUGGGCUACUAUUACAGAAUACCACAAAUUUGGUGGUUAUAAACAACAGACCUUUAUUUCUCACAGCUUUGGAAGAUGGAAGUCCAAGUUCAGGGUGCUAGCAUGGUCAGGUUCUGGGGAAAGCCCUCCUCUGCAUUGCAGACUUCUCAUUGUAUCCUCACAUGAUGGAAGGGACUAAGGAUCU